Non-coding RNA from Lolium perenne, 1942 nucleotides. NCBI's taxonomy places the organism in Eukaryota, Viridiplantae, Streptophyta, Magnoliopsida, Poales, Poaceae. The record is from RefSeq and is a predicted model, not a curated record.
UCCACCAUUGUCUACGACCAUAUAAGUUUGAUAGUUCCCCUCCUCCCUACUUCUCAAAUUAAAAUUCAGGCAUGUCAAUUUCUCACUAUGGUUACAGCAAGAAUUGCCUGUAUAUUUGGCCAAUUUACGGUGCACCAAAGUAAUGGGGAGCUUACAAGCAUUUGUAUUGUUUUGCUGUCAUACUUGAAGCUCCAUUUCAGAUUAUUGAUCUUUGCAUAUCAGUUAUGUGUUUAUAAUAUUGCACCAGAACCAUAGAAGCAUUUUUCUCUCAUUCUUUGGUUAUCUAUUUUCUCUUCAAAUUCUAGACCUCCAGCUCAGAUCAUGAUCCUUGCAUGUAUUUCUUUCAUAACUUCUCAAAUGGGUUAAUCUUGCAAUGAAGAAACACAUGCUUAAGAAAUAUGGGAGGGAAUGUCACAGGUAUGGUGAGUCAGCAGAUGAUUCCGUGUAUCAUUUCAAAGCAACGGUGAAUAUGAUUAGCUCUUUCUAUCUAAAAGAGAUAAUUAGGUUCAUGUUUGUACACACACAUUGAUACAAAUAUCACAAUAGUUAGCAUCUUCUUUUGUUGUAUUUAUGUCUUUGGUCACUAAUUUGACUUAACUACUCAGCAUGGUCUACAUCUUAGCAGGUUACAGAUUAGCCACCAGACGCAGUAUUGACGGUUCAACAUGCUUCAUAAAAUCUGCUUGCCAGUGCAACCUAAUGCAUAAUCCAUUAGUUUCGACCCUGGACUGCAUAGUAUUGCUGCUCCUCAGAGUGGAUUCAUGGAUUCAGAGAAAACGAAUUUGCCUUUGGUCAGAUAUAUCAAAGUACCGAAGGACUUGGGUUAUUCAGUGACACGCCCUUCAUGUGUGGGCGCUCUCUUUUGCUACCCACACAGAUGCUCUGCUCUGCAUCGCAAGCAGCCAGGGAGCAACAUUUUAAUCACAGCAAAAAAAGAGUAUAUUAAUCAUACAAAUUUAUCAGAAAUGUGAUGGUUUGCCUACAAGCUCAUCAUUCUUUUUUGUGACCUCAGGUUUUGAGUAGAGGACAGGACAAGGUCCACACGGAUAUGAUUACCAUGUUGGAUUGAAGAGCAUUAGGGGUGAAGAGUUAAGAUGCCAUAAAUCUGUUGAUUACAAGUAGGCUCGGUCCGUAUCUCCGACGUCAUCUGCUCCAACAAUACUCCUUGAUUUGCAUCAGGUGUUGUGCUUCGUCCAUGCUAUUUCCUUACCCCGGUUCUAAUUUCUCCUUAAAUAAUACUGCUCAAGUGCGGCAAAUCCGCUUGGGCCGGCUCAAGUGGGCAGCCCGUAGAGGAAUGAGGUAGACUUGCGCAAUGGAGUCAUCAUGCCGGCUCGAUGAAUUACAUUUCGUUCACUCAGCUACACCCUCACAGGAGAAAAAGCCAGGGUGGUUUAAGACAUGCAUCAGAUAAUGUUUCUCAGUGAGGUAUGUUGCUGUGAUUUUUAACUAGAUUCAGGAUUUUGUCCAAGAUUGCUUCUGAAAUCAACUAAAUGUCAACUAAAUGUCUUCCUUCUGAAAAUCAUUUGUAAGUUUUGAAAUGUUGUUGUGUACAUAUUUGUUGAGGAGACUGGCGAGGACAACAGGCCGAGAAUAGGAGUUGUUCAGGUGUUGAUUGUAUGCUGGAGAAGGCACGGGAGGGAACAGUGACAUAAGCAUUGGUGCUGCAACAACGAGUGUUGUUGUGGUCAUUAUGUGGUCAAUGACAUCGAGCCACAAAGAGCUCAUUCCCUUUUGGCUCCAGUUUAUGUAUGUUGAUUCUUCUAUUAAUAAUUUGUGUUAGGAAGAGUGUCUUGUGAUGUUACUUAAACCUAUUAUGAUUUUGGGUGUGUACCUGAAGGAACUGCACGAAUAUGGUUUUAGGCUUUCAGAUUUGGACUUAGAGAGGACUUGCAUUGAUUUUCUACUGUAGUGAUUGCUAUAAUGGGAUAUCACAAAUAAUCGA